RNAcentral lists this ribosomal RNA (232 nucleotides) under uncultured bacterium. RNAcentral's name for it is "partial 16S ribosomal RNA". It matches the Rfam family "Bacterial small subunit ribosomal RNA", at positions 99 to 334 of the family's 1533-position model. The record is from RNAcentral.
CGGACGGGUGAGUAACGCGUAGGAAUCUGCCUACUAGCGGGGGAUAGCCCGAAGAAAUUCGGAUUAAUACCGCAUAAGCCCUACGGGGGAAAGCUGGGGAUCUUCGGACCUGGCACUAGUAGAUGAGCCUGCGUUAGAUUAGCUUGUUGGUGGGGUAAUGGCCUACCAAGGCGACGAUCUAUAGCUGGUCUGAGAGGACGAUCAGCCACGCUGGGACUGAGACACGGCCCAG